RNAcentral lists this ribosomal RNA (440 nucleotides) under uncultured bacterium. RNAcentral describes it as "bacterial SSU rRNA". It matches the Rfam family "Bacterial small subunit ribosomal RNA", at positions 335 to 769 of the family's 1533-position model. The record is from RNAcentral.
ACUCCUACGGGAGGCAGCAGUGGGGAAUAUUGCACAAUGGGCGCAAGCCUGAUGCAGCCAUGCCGCGUGUAUGAAGAAGGCCUUCGGUUGUAAAGUACUUCUAGCAGUGAGGAAGGCAGGUACGUUAAUAGCGUGCUUGUUUGACGUUAGCUGCAGAAGAAGCACCGGCUAACUCCGUGCCAGCAGCCGCGGUAAUACGGAGGGUGCGAGCGUUAAUCGGAAUUACUGGGCGUAAAGCGCAUGCAGGUGGUUUGUUAAGUCAGAUGUGAAAGCCCGGGGCUCAACCUCGGAAUUGCAUUUGAAACUGGCAGACUAGAGUACUGUAGAGGGGGUAGAAUUUCAGGUGUAGCGGUGAAAUGCGUAGAGAUCUGAAGGAAUACCGGUGGCGAAGGCGGCCCCCUGGACAGAUACUGACACUCAGAUGCGAAAGCGUGGGGAGC